RNAcentral lists this ribosomal RNA (253 nucleotides) under uncultured bacterium. RNAcentral's name for it is "partial 16S ribosomal RNA". It matches the Rfam family "Bacterial small subunit ribosomal RNA", at positions 524 to 776 of the family's 1533-position model. The record is from RNAcentral.
UACGUAGGGUGCAAGCGUUAAUCGGAAUUACUGGGCGUAAAGCGCGCGCAGGCGGCUUUGCAAGACAGAUGUGAAAUCCCCGGGCUCAACCUGGGAACUGCAUUUGUGACUGCAUGGCUAGAGUGCGGCAGAGGGGGAUGGAAUUCCGCGUGUAGCAGUGAAAUGCGUAGAUAUGCGGAGGAACACCGAUGGCGAAGGCAAUCCCCUGGGCCGGCACUGACGCUCAUGCACGAAAGCGUGGGGAGCAAACAGG